AGAAGACUCGGUAAGACCAGAGACGCAAACGUUAAUCAUCUUAAACAGGCGUAAAGGGUUUGUAGGCAGCUUUCACAAGAAUAUAAUUACCCAAAUAAAGUAGUCUAAUUGAAAGCUAGAAUCAAAAAGAGGUUAUAGUGUAUAACGCCUAGGUGAGGGCUGAUAUCCGUAGAUCCUAGGCAGAAUACUUAAGGCGAAGGCCACUCUCCACUAAUGAUUGACGCUGAGAAACGAAGGUUAGGGUAGGAAAUAGGAUUAGAUACCCCGGUACUCCUUUCUGUAAACGAUGAAUGGUAGUCAUUAGUUUUUAAAAAUAACUAGAGGCGAAGUUAACACGAUAACCAUUCCGCCUUGUGAGUACUACUGCAAAGUAGAAAACAAAAAAAUUAGUCGGUCUCGAAGCAAACGGAGUGAAGCA
This 418-nucleotide ribosomal RNA is filed under the name Coriolopsis retropicta. Its description in RNAcentral is "SSU rRNA". It matches the Rfam family "Bacterial small subunit ribosomal RNA", at positions 510 to 941 of the family's 1533-position model. Lineage: Eukaryota; Fungi; Basidiomycota; Agaricomycetes; Polyporales; Polyporaceae. The record is from RNAcentral.